RNAcentral lists this ribosomal RNA (253 nucleotides) under uncultured bacterium. RNAcentral's name for it is "partial 16S ribosomal RNA". It matches the Rfam family "Bacterial small subunit ribosomal RNA", at positions 524 to 776 of the family's 1533-position model. The record is from RNAcentral.
UACAGAGGAGCCAAGCGUUGUCCGGAUUGACUGGGCGUAAAGCGCACGCAGGCGGAUGCGCGCGUGGGGUGUGAAAUCUGGCCGCUUAACGGCCAGGCGCCAUCCCAUACGGCGCGUCUGGAGUGAUGCAGAGGUCGAUGGAAUUGCCGGUGUAGUGGUGAAAUGCGCAGAUAUCGGGAGGAACACCGGUGGCGAAGGCGGUUCUCUGGGCCUGACCUGACGCUGAGGAGCGAAAGCGUGGGGAGCGAACAGG